UGGCUGCCCCUGGGCCACUUCCAAUCUCCCCUUCACUGGGUACCUGCCAUCCCAUGGGCUCCUCAGGAUACUGGGCAUAGGGAACUCCCGGCGGCUCCUCCGGCUGUCGGGAAGCUCAGGCGGCUCCUCUGGGUGCCGAACACGGGGCAGGUCGGGCCAGCCCUCCUCCGGGUGCCGAGCACGGGGCAGGCUGGGCCCAGCAGGAGCUUGGGCACCAGCGUCUGUCCUCUCCAGCAGCGUCCUUCCAACUGAGUGCCGGGGCCGUGCUUUUAUACUUCCUGUCCCGCCCCUUGAUUUCCGGGGAAUGGGGACAGGUGGUGGUGGCGCCGCCCCCUGCCACGCCUGUUCUAGCUCGUCCCUCUCAGGCUCCACGGGGAGUGAGGCCUCCUCGCUACACCACACAAACUAGCAAAUAGCUGAGCAGCUGGCAGUGCUGCAAAUUUCUGGACCUGUGACCAGUGCAGACAGUGGGAUAAGCAGCUGAAUAGUGAGUAUUGGAAAACCAGGGACCAGACCCACAUGGUGGGCAACUUGCCGACAUUAUGCCCAUCUGAUGAGGUGUUUGGGUGCUGGGCACUAAACCUAGCAUCAAGCCAACAGUGGUGCAUGAUGACCUGCUUGGCUGGGACAGUGUCCUGCUGAUCCCAGAAUCCAGCAUGGGGAAUGAUGGGAGCCAGCAGCAGGCACCGCGUGGGGACAACAAAAUCACUCUGUUACUGAAAGCAGCCCCAGAGUAGGCUCUGGACCACGGGUCCAGCUGUUUGAUGCCCCUUCCAGGAACAGCCAUCAAUGGAGCAGGCAGAAGAAGGGAUUAGAAGCCACCCCUGAGCCUGGCUCCUCGCUCUCUACUGGCUACAGCACUUGCACGGCAGAAGCCUGGGCCAGCACACCUGCAUGGACUGUUCCAGGAGGAAUUGUUUCCGUGAUGAAGUUCUGGAGAGGGCCAGCAAGCAGGCCCCGUACAAAAGACACAGAGGGACGUGCAGCUGGAGAAAAGGCAGGCUGCAAGGCAAGAGGAAAGGCUCAGGCGGGCUGCACAGCUUGAGGAUGGGGUUUCAGUGCAGGAGCAGUUACUUGCUUCGCAGUUCCCGGAAGGGAGGACAGAGCUCAGCAGAAAGAGCCCUUUGAGUGGCUCAUAUCACUAAUGACUGCAAGAGUGGAGGCUCCUGCUGCAUCAUCCAGACCACAACCUGAGUUCCUUGUGCGCUACCCUGAGCCACAGUCCUGAAGGAGCUUGGAAGACUCCAGGGUUGGGUGGCCCAUGGAGUUAGGCCCCACGAGUGGCUGGCUGGGGCAACCUUGCCCCAUGCAGCCUUUCAUAUUGACCCCUUUCCACAGUGCCAUGUGCACAGGGAAUGAAGGGAGCAGAGAAUAGGGGGCCAGGGCCAUGCCUGGGUAGGGGAUUUCUGGCUUGUCUGUGGUUCCACUGUUUGCACUUGUUCACACACUCUGUUUUUCUGUAGGGUCUGAUGUUACUGGGGUUUAGGUCUGGUAAUGGCAGCUGUCCUGCCUGGCAAUGGGGGAAUGUUGUAAUUCCUUAUGUUUACAAAUAAAAAUGUCUUUAUUUUA
Long non-coding RNA from Gopherus evgoodei (Goodes thornscrub tortoise), 1569 nucleotides. RefSeq lists it as uncharacterized. The record is from RefSeq and is a predicted model, not a curated record. The transcript is spliced from 2 exons. NCBI's taxonomy places the organism in Eukaryota, Metazoa, Chordata, Testudines, Testudinidae.